AAUCUUAAUCUGUGGGAUUUUACUACGGACCAGUCUUUUUAUCCGCUUUAAUGUGAUACGGACGUCGUUUUAAAUCCACUCUGCACCUGAUAACGGCCAUAUAAAUACCUGGACCAGAAGACACGGAUAACCAACCAACAACAACAACAACAACAACAACAACAACAACACCAACAACAACGCUCUGAAGGCAAAAGGCGUCAACACCGGACAACGCCCUCCUGACUCAGGAGAACCCUCCAGAACUCUACUGUCGCUCUGGCUCGCUCUGAGGCUAUGACAGGGAGAGAG
This 291-nucleotide long non-coding RNA is filed under the name Gadus morhua (Atlantic cod). RNAcentral's name for it is "lncRNA (ENSGMOG00000032631.1)". The record is from RNAcentral. Lineage: Eukaryota; Metazoa; Chordata; Actinopteri; Gadiformes; Gadidae.